GGCGCUUUGGCGGAGUGGUUAACGCGAUGGCCUGCUAAUUUAGUUUCCCUCGGGAGCGUGUGUUCGAAUCACACAGGCGUCG
Non-coding RNA from Rhynchosporium graminicola, 82 nucleotides. The record is from the annotation of a GenBank genome assembly. Lineage: Eukaryota; Fungi; Ascomycota; Leotiomycetes; Helotiales; Ploettnerulaceae.